GGAAGACUUAAGAUGGCGGCGUUUGCACGGAGUGCAAUCACUGCGUCCUUACGGGGGUUGCAAGGCGUCCGAAGUAUGAGUCCACUAACAAAAGUCCAGAAACUCGCCAGUUAAUAGUAUUGUGUCUCUUCAAAAUAUCGGAGAAUAAUUUCUUUCUCGCUGAUCGCCUAACUUCUACUGACGAAGCUUGGAAGUUGCAGAAGGCUGGAAUGCAAUGGCAUGACCUUGGCUCACUGCAACCUCUGCCUCCCCAGUUCAAGUGGUUCUCCUGCCUCAGCCUCCCGAGUAGCUGAGAUUACAGGUACUGGCUCCUGUAUCACCCAGCUCUGGAGUUGAAAGAGCUCUUCAUUCCUGAGUCUCCUGUACCACUGAGAAUAGAAAUACAAAAAAAAUUCUAAAACUUGUAUGGAACUACAAAAGACAUUAAAUAAUCAAAGUAAUCUUGAGCAACAAGGACACAGCUGGAGGCAUCACUCUACCUGAUUUUGUAAUCCAUUAUCAAAAAACUGUGGUACCAGCAUAAAAACAGAUUCACUGACCAGUGGAACAGGAAAGCCCAGACAUAACUCAUACAUUUCCAUCCAAUUGAUUUUUGACAAAAGUGGCACACAGAAUGGGGAGAGGACAAAUAAAUAAAUAAAUUGUUUUGAGAUAUCUGUAUAUCUAUAUGUGAAAUUGAACCAUUUUCUCAUAGCAUAUAGAAAAAUCAACUCAAAAUGGAUUAAAGCCUGAAAUGUUGCCUUUGAAACUGUAAAACUACUAGUAGAAAAUAUAGGGGAAAA
RNAcentral lists this long non-coding RNA (782 nucleotides) under Homo sapiens (human). RNAcentral's name for it is "JPX transcript, XIST activator". The stretch from base 1 to 125 matches the Rfam family "JPX transcript, XIST activator conserved region 1". The record is from RNAcentral. Lineage: Eukaryota; Metazoa; Chordata; Mammalia; Primates; Hominidae.